Molecule: ribosomal RNA, 303 nt
Filed under: uncultured bacterium
Lineage: Bacteria
Description: partial 16S ribosomal RNA
Rfam family: Bacterial small subunit ribosomal RNA
Source: RNAcentral
AGCAGUAGCCGCGGUAAUACGAAGGGUGCAAGCGUUAAUCGGAAUUACUGGGCGUAAAGCGUGCGUAGGCGGUGAGUUAAGUCUGCUGUGAAAUCCCCGGGCUCAACCUGGGAAUGGCAGUGGAUACUGGCAAGCUAGAGUGUGUCAGAGGAUGGUGGAAUUCCCGGUGUAGCGGUGAAAUGCGUAGAGAUCGGGAGGAACAUCAGUGGCGAAGGCGGCCAUCUGGGACAACACUGACGCUGAGGCACGAAAGCGUGGGGAGCAAACAGGAUUAGAUACCCCCGUAGUCCCUGUCUCUUAUAA